RNAcentral lists this long non-coding RNA (421 nucleotides) under Rattus norvegicus (Norway rat). RNAcentral's name for it is "long non-coding RNA NONRATT018270". Lineage: Eukaryota; Metazoa; Chordata; Mammalia; Rodentia; Muridae. The record is from RNAcentral.
CCAUGGCGCCCGCGUCCGGGCCGGUCUUCAAUCUGGGUCACCUCUCGCACCCGUCUUCGGCCAGCGUGGACUACAGCUGCGCCGCGCAAAUCCCUGGCAACCAUCACCACGGACCGUGCGACCCUCAUCCCACCUACACAGAUCUCUCGGCUCACCACACGUCUCAGGGACGCCUGCCCGAGGCCCCCAAACUGACACAUCUGUAGCGGUUGCCGCCGGCCUGGCGCAAUUACCUCUCUGGUUUUGGUGGCAGGGGUGGUGGCGGGGCGGGGCCCGAAAGGCAGUUUAGGGGAACCCCCCUCCCUGAUCUGGCCUGGCAGAUGCCACACGAGUUUCGGGCUUCCAGCGGCCGAGGCUGACGCGACUGGGCCUCCCCUCCAGGCGUGUCCUCCUUUGGGUGACUCGCUAUAAAUCAGCCGCA